GGGAAGGCUGCAGGAUCUGUGUGUGAGAGACACGCUUUCUGAUGCAAUGCACUCAGUGCCAGCGUGCAGAGGCUGCACCAGCCAUCCCUGGACAAUCAAAACUCCACAGGCGGAGCUAGCACUCUCAGUGACAGCUACAGGAUGGAGCAAACUGGAGGUGGAUCCAGAAGAGGGAUCACAAAGGAGGGUCAGCAACAGAAAUCUUGGAGCCCAGUACAAGGAUGUCUCUGCCAGCCCUCCACCCACCACCACCCUCAACUCUGUAUCCACACAUCCCUCUUCUGUAUGAGUGAUCUGUUCUAAAGUACAUUAUUAUUUUUAUUUAAAGAUAUGCUAGCCUAUUUUUUAUGUUUCAUUUCAUUAGAUUGGAAAUUAAAACAAAAUGUAAAAGCACUGUGUGGCUUACUGUACUUCACACUGUCUCUGAUUAUGCAGGUGUGGGGA
Long non-coding RNA from Pseudophryne corroboree (corroboree frog), 444 nucleotides. RefSeq lists it as uncharacterized. The transcript has 3 exons. NCBI's taxonomy places the organism in Eukaryota, Metazoa, Chordata, Amphibia, Anura, Myobatrachidae. The record is from RefSeq and is a predicted model, not a curated record.